UUUAUCAGAGAGUUUGAUCCUGGCUCAGGAUGAACGCUGGCGGCGUGCUUAACACAUGCAAGUCGAACGGGAAUUACUUUAUUGAAACUUCGGUCGAUUUAAUUUAAUUCUAGUGGCGGACGGGUGAGUAACGCGUGGGUAACCUGCCUUGUACAGGGGGAUAACAGUCAGAAAUGACUGCUAAUACCGCAUAAGCGCACAGGACCGCAUGGUCCGGUGUGAAAAACUCCGGUGGUAUAAGAUGGACCCGCGUUGGAUUAGCUAGUUGGU
RNAcentral lists this ribosomal RNA (270 nucleotides) under Blautia sp. BCRC 81119. RNAcentral describes it as "partial 16S ribosomal RNA". It matches the Rfam family "Bacterial small subunit ribosomal RNA", at positions 1 to 253 of the family's 1533-position model. Lineage: Bacteria; Bacillati; Bacillota; Clostridia; Lachnospirales; Lachnospiraceae. The record is from RNAcentral.